This 433-nucleotide ribosomal RNA is filed under the name uncultured bacterium. Its description in RNAcentral is "partial 16S ribosomal RNA". It matches the Rfam family "Bacterial small subunit ribosomal RNA", at positions 29 to 507 of the family's 1533-position model. The record is from RNAcentral.
AGCGAACGCUGGCGGCAGGCUUAACACAUGCAAGUCGAGCGGGCCCUUCGGGGUCAGCGGCAGACGGGUGAGUAACACGUGGGAACGUACCCUUUGGUUCGGAAUAACGCUGGGAAACUAGCGCUAAUACCGGAUACGCCCUUUUGGGGAAAGGCUUGCUGCCGAAGGAUCGGCCCGCGUCUGAUUAGCUAGUUGGUGGGGUAAUGGCCUACCAAGGCGACGAUCAGUAGCUGGUCUGAGAGGAUGAUCAGCCACACCGGGACUGAGACACGGCCCAGACUCCUACGGGAGGCAGCAGUGGGGAAUAUUGGACAAUGGGCGCAAGCCUGAUCCAGCCAUGCCGCGUGAGUGAUGAAGGCCUUAGGGUUGUAAAGCUCUUUUGUCCGGGACGAUAAUGACGGUACCGGAAGAAUAAGCCCCGGCUAACUUCGUG